This 484-nucleotide ribosomal RNA is filed under the name uncultured bacterium. RNAcentral describes it as "partial 16S ribosomal RNA". It matches the Rfam family "Bacterial small subunit ribosomal RNA", at positions 29 to 507 of the family's 1533-position model. The record is from RNAcentral.
AUUGAACGCUGGCGGUAUGCUUUACACAUGCAAGUCGAGCGGCAGCACGGGGGCAGCCCUGGUGGCGAGUGGCGAACGGGUGAGUAAUACAUCGGAACGUGCCCGGCCGCGGGGGAUAACGUAGCGAAAGAUACGCUAAUACCGCAUACGAUCAGAGGAUGAAAGGGGGGGACCAUCGGGCCUCGCGCGAUCGGAGCGGCCGAUGUCGGAUUAGUUAGUUGGUGGGGUAAAGGCCUACCAAGCCGACGAUCCGUAGCUGGUCUGAGAGGACGACCAGCCACACUGGGACUGAGACACGGCCCAGACUCCUACGGGAGGCAGCAGUGGGGAAUUUUGGACAAUGGGCGCAAGCCUGAUCCAGCCAUACCGCGUGGAGGACGAAGGCCUUCGGGUUGUAAACUGCUUUUGUACGGAACGAAAAGGAUCUGGCUAAUACCUGGGGCUCAUGACGGUACCGAAAGAAUAAGCACCGGCUAACUACGUG